Non-coding RNA from Triticum aestivum (bread wheat), 117 nucleotides. The record is from Rfam. NCBI's taxonomy places the organism in Eukaryota, Viridiplantae, Streptophyta, Magnoliopsida, Poales, Poaceae.
UGGAUACUCCCUCCGUCCGAAAAUACGUGUCAUCAAAAUGGAUAAAAAAAAUACGUCUAGAUACAUCCCAUUUUAUUCAUUUUGAUGACAAGUAUUUCCGGACGGAGGGAGUACAUU